CAGGGAAUAUUGCACAAUGGGCGAAAGCCUGAUGCAGCGACACCGCGUGCGGGAUGAAGGCCUUCGGGUUGUAAACCGCUUUCAGGAGGGAAGAAAAUGACGGUACCUCCAGAAGAAGCUCCGGCCAACUACGUGCCAGCAGCCGCGGUAAUACGUAGGGAGCAAACGUUGUCCGGAUUUAUUGGGCGUAAAGGGCUCGUAGGCGGUUCAACAAGUCGGUCGUGAAAGCCCGGGGCUCAACCCCGGGAGGCCGGUCGAAACUGUUGUGACUAGAGUUCGGUAGAGGUGAGUGGAAUUCCCGGUGUAGCGGUGGAAUGCGCAGAUAUCGGGAGGAACACCAUUAGCGAAGGCGGCUCACUGGGCCGAUACUGACGCUGAGGAGCGAAAGCGUGGGGAGCAAACAGGAUUAGAUACCCCCGUAGUCC
This 425-nucleotide ribosomal RNA is filed under the name uncultured prokaryote. RNAcentral describes it as "bacterial SSU rRNA". It matches the Rfam family "Bacterial small subunit ribosomal RNA", at positions 355 to 796 of the family's 1533-position model. The record is from RNAcentral.